Molecule: long non-coding RNA, 514 nt
Organism: Triticum dicoccoides
Lineage: Eukaryota; Viridiplantae; Streptophyta; Magnoliopsida; Poales; Poaceae
Exons: 3
Source: RefSeq, a predicted model, not a curated record
UCCCACCCCCAUCUCAACCCCCGUAUGAUCUGCCGCUUCCUCGACCUGCCUCGGCGCCGCUUCCUCGAUCUGCCUCGGCGUCGUUUGGAUCGUUGCGGCGACGACUUCGUCGGUUUUCAGCUCCGGCACCUACAUCCUGAAGGAGUACAAUCUCGUGUCUGGAUGGCGACGGACAUGUUGACCAUAUACCUGCACUAUGAAGAUACAAAUCAGGAAGCCAAAAUUUUACAAUGAUCCAUGAUGAAGCGUCAUGUCUCGUAUUAUGACUUAAUCUUGAUGAUCGAGGAAGUUGGCUUUCAGGCAAUUGACUUUCUGUACUAUGCAAAAAAAAACCCCGUCUAGGCAGCUCCUACUUAGUUCACAUUUACGAUCUCUUUCUGUACCUUGUUAUUGAUUCUGUGCUAGAGGUGAGGGAAACGAGGGAUCUUACAGGUGAAUCUGUUUCAAGACCGAACCAGCAAGGGACUAGAACUGCACACCUAGCUCGCUCAAAAAGAAGGUGCACUUCUUCCAU